Molecule: ribosomal RNA, 253 nt
Filed under: uncultured bacterium
Lineage: Bacteria
Description: partial 16S ribosomal RNA
Rfam family: Bacterial small subunit ribosomal RNA
Source: RNAcentral
UACGUAGGGUGCGAGCGUUACUCGGAAUUACUGGGCGUAAAGCGUGCGCAGGCGGUUCGUUAUGUCCGAUGUGAAAGCCCCGAGCUCAACUUGGGAAUGGCAUUGGAAACUGGCGGGCUGGAGUGUGGCAGAGGGGGGUGGAAUUCCACGUGUAGCAGUGAAAUGCGUAGAGAUGUGGAGGAACACCGAUGGCGAAGGCAGCCCCCUGGGCCAACACUGACGCUCAGGCACGAAAGCGUGGGGAGCAAACAGG